CUCCCAUGACGAUUCCGCCAUGCUAAUACUGAUGCACCAGUUAAGUGCUUUGCAUUUCACUGGGUGCAAGUGAGUUCAACUCACCUUCUCACACUGAUGCUAUCAGUGUGUGCUGAGGAGA
Molecule: small nucleolar RNA, 121 nt
Filed under: Gouania willdenowi (blunt-snouted clingfish)
Lineage: Eukaryota; Metazoa; Chordata; Actinopteri; Blenniiformes; Gobiesocidae
Source: RNAcentral